This is a long non-coding RNA of Musa acuminata AAA Group (dessert banana), 1431 nucleotides long. RefSeq lists it as uncharacterized. The transcript is spliced from 3 exons. The record is from RefSeq and is a predicted model, not a curated record. Lineage: Eukaryota; Viridiplantae; Streptophyta; Magnoliopsida; Zingiberales; Musaceae.
ACGAGGGGUUAUGUAAAUAGCCUACUGUUCUUCCAAACAAAGUCCAAAUAUGGUAAAGAAAAGCAAAAGAAAAAUAGAUUAUAGUGACAAAAUCUGACCCCAAUCUUGCUCUAUUUAAGGCAUCUCCCACUUCCCCUUCGCUCCCUCACUCCGACCACACUUUUGGCCUACCAAUCCUCCACCUCCAAACCAGAAUCAUACAUCACGCAGCUCCACUUCCCCUUCUUUCUAACCAAUCUCAGCUCGCCCCUCGAGCACUACACAGUAGCAGCAAUGAUGUCGAAGCAUGCGGCCUCCCUGCUUUUGGCUUUUCUCCUCCUUGCCUCCCUCACUCAAGCAGCCAGGCCUCACCCAGCAGAUUCAAGAAACGACCAAGGGGAGGUUGCGGAUGAGGCUGGUUUUGAUCAGACAACAGAUGAAGAAUGUGGGGGAAUCGGCGAGGACGAGUGUCUGAUGAGGAGAACUCUUGUAGCUCGUACAGACUACAUAUACACCCAGGGGAAGAACCCCUGAGGGGUGCAGAAGUGGUUCUACUCCUAGUUAUUGGUGCUGUUUAUCUCGCGUAUAAUACCUCUGUUUGGGAGCGUCUUGUAGAUUUGUGUUUGUGCCUUCUGUUCUUCCCUUGUGACCUUCUCAAGAUUGCCUAUGUAAAGAGGGUUAAGGAUAAAUGCUACAAGAUUUUGUGCAUGAGUCCUCUCAAAUGCUAAUUCCUUUGUUUCCCUCUGAUCUCAUGACAAGCAUGCCAACUUCAUCUUUGGUAGUACAAGUUCUUCUCAAAAAAAAAAAAAAAAAUCUUUUUGUGUAAGUGAAAAAACCAUGUGUUUGCUCUUUUUUGUGUUCCUUGGAGAAAAGCCUUAGCAGCAGCCUUUCUUCUUCUUGGAAGUCCUUUUUCCAUGAAGGAAAAAAGGAGUUAUACUGAACAUAAUGUGAGACCACAUAGAUAGGGUCACCAUUUCCAACAACUAGUUGACUUUUAGAUUUCUUCUACAAUAGCAGCAGGGCCUCUAGAAUAUAUAUAUACUUAAGAUCUUUCCAUUGGAAUCUGUGGGAGCAAUAGUUUACCCCUCUCUCUCUCUCUCUCUCACACACAAACACACACACAAUUGUUAUGGACAUGGUGGUGUUUGAUGUUGACAAGGCCAUGGAAUAGUCAUUAUUCAAGGAAAAUACAAGGUCUUGAUUGAGACCAGACAGCUGCUGCUUGGUGAUCAUCCAAACCCCUCUGGUUUAGAAGGAAAGUGACUCUCAACCUUGAACAUGCCCCUUAAUCAGCACGUGAACCUUGUUACUUCAAGAUUGGUGAGCUGAGAGGUGUCUCUGCUGCUGUUUCUUUAUAUUUUCCCUGUGCAAAAGUCAGACCUUGGAUGAGCACAAACAUGAAUGGGGGCACCAACACCAGGGAAGGUGCCUGCUUAGAUGAUGCUGUCCUCC